Molecule: long non-coding RNA, 2648 nt
Filed under: Glycine max (soybean)
Lineage: Eukaryota; Viridiplantae; Streptophyta; Magnoliopsida; Fabales; Fabaceae
Description: long non-coding RNA (GMAX_LNC000427)
Source: RNAcentral
AAGUACCUGCCAAUGUAAUAAUGGUAGUGUUGAGGUACCUCUGAUGAUGGUGAUGACACCACUGAGCAGAUUGUGAACUUGUGAUGCCUGUAUGCACUGCCUUAAUUGAGUGUGAAAGAAUAAAUAUAUGCCAGCGAUUGAUAUGGAGAUUUGGGUAGUAAAAAACAGUGUAACUUAAAAGCUUAUACUAAUGGUAGUGAACUGUGGUUACUAGUUUUACUAACUAGCUUGCCAUACUGUGCAAACUGCUUGAAUUGUGUGCCAUAAUUAGUUUGUCCAACAUUUUAUUCUACCAAUUUGUUUCCAACAACUCUCAAUAUACAUUUCUAUUCCAAUUUGGAUUAUAGCUUUGCAUCUUAUUUUCUAUUAAUGUUUUUGAAUCUUAAGCUUGGCCUGUAGCAGUUGCAUUAAAUUUGUAUUUUUUUUUAUCUUAGUUGAAUUGUGNNNNNNNNNNNNNNNNNNNNNNNNNNNNNNNNNNNNNNNNNNNNNNNNNNNNNNNNNNNNNNNNNNNNNNNNNNNNNNNNNNNNNNNNNNNNNNNNNNNNCAUCAUAUAAGGCAUCUUAUCAGUCUUGGAAGUUACUCUUGCAGUUGUGAUAUGUCUGUGUGCACUAUAACAUCACAUUGGUCUUGAUUUCUUUUGAGAGUUAUGCACUAUAAGUUCAAACAUUAUAGAAGGUCAGAAAUGCCAGGUAUAAGAAUAUAUAAGUAAAAGAAGACUGUCAUAAUUUCUAUGUGCUUUACUAAGUCAGACAAGAAAGGAAAAUAAGAACACUAAUUAAUAAGUGGGUCUAAUUAAAUAAUAAAUAAUAUUGAAUAUUCAAUUUUGACUAGAUAUUGCCCUUCUUUUCUGAAGGUUAAAGAAAAACAAAAAAAAAUUGAGAAUUAAAAAACACUAAUGUCAUUCUUUUUCUGUUCUUAGGUGUGUUCAAACCAAAAGAAAUAAAUAAUAAAGUAGCUUGUAGAAGAUAAAAUAAGUAUACAUGCAUUUCUAUAAACAAAAGAGAAGGAAAAAAAAGAAAAGAAAAGUGAAAUUGACAAGGGAAAAAGAGGAAUAAAAGAAAAGGAAGGAAUUAAAUGUGAAUGAUCUAGGCAUAUCUAGAAGUUUAAGCCAUUAUGUCAAAACUUAUAGGCAUAAGUAGUAGAAUUUAAAUUUGUUGACAAACAUUUUCAUCCACAUGAUUUUUAUUUCUUCAUCAUUGAUUUUGGCUUUGGAGAAUUUUUUAAACACUCUGAAUAUAUAUAACAUUCUUUAUUUGUAGGUGAGACUUUGUGUGUGCACGCACAUGUUUGCUGUUUCAAUUUAUCAGUUGUAUGGCUUGUGGUUUUCAUAAAAGUAUCUUUCAUAGCACCUUUCUUCUGGAUUUCUCUACUUGUGCCCAUAUCUUUAUUUCACAAUAAGUUAAAAUUUGAGGCUUUGGUUUACAUUGCAAUUAGCAAAAUUGUAGAAUUUUUUUGUAGACAAAUGCUACCACAGUUGUGGUCUUCACACAGAUAAAAAAAUGUUGCAGCCACAAUUACAGUUGCAAAUAACAAUUUAAAACUGUUAUUGGUAUUCUAGUUUGUGGUUGAACUAUUUUGAAUGUUAUGUGGGUGGGAAUUGUGUUAAACAUAGCUGAAUCCAGGUAUUCUAACAUGUUUGCAUACUGGACAUGUGGCCAUAUUUUAGCAUAUAUCUUAAUUAACAUUUACUUUUGUAAAAAAAAAAUGACAACAAUUCAUACACAAACGUACGCCAUCAAAAUGAAGAAAUUUGACAUUAAGUGUUUGGCUGCAGAAACUGAAUGAAAGAUGGAUUACAUGUUAAGCAUAAUACCUGGUGGUGGGGAAAAUGCGAAUAUACAGAAGAUGCAUACUCAAACGCUUCUAUUUCAACUGAUCACAUUAUGACAGUGAAUCCGUUGUGAAGUUCCCAGCUCUCAUACAUCUAAAAAAUGAGGACUGAGUUGCACAAAUGUCACAAUAACACAGUUUGCAGUUUUGGCCAGGAUUCUUUAAUUCCUUACACAAUGCCAUUAAGCCCUAUAAUAGCACACUAUCAAGUUUGGUGGCUUGCAUUUCAAUGUCAAUAUAGUAAGAGGCUGUGCUCAAAAUAAAGAAUAUGAAAUCAUGGUUCAUACUUUGUAGCAACUCAAGUUUGUGAAGUGUCUGAUGAGUGAUUGCUUAGUUUUUAGAAGUAAUGAUCUUAACUUGAAUAUAUGGUUGGAUAAGGGAGAUCCAUGUUGAAGUAAGAUUGAUGAAUGAACUUGUCAUCCCUCGUCCCUAGCUAGAAGACAGGCCACAAGCUGGAGUGGUUGGAGACAUACACAUCGUUUUGAUAACAGACUAACAGGAUGUACUGAAAGUGUUUGUGGAAAAAAAAAAAAAAAGACUGGUCGAGCUAGUGAUGUACUAGUGUUAUAUUUGGCCUUGUGAGACUAGGGAGUAACGAGAGGGGUCAAAAUCAUUCUACAUUUUUUAUCUUAUUGGGAGUGAAGGUGGUAAUUUACUUAGUUGAAAUGUACAUAUCUCCAGAUGAUAUCUGAACCAGACCUAGAUAUUGUUAGAUAUUUUUUAUUUUUCAAAAUGGUCCCUUAAAUAGUAUUUUCUUAUAACAAAAUAUAAAUAUUCUGUCAUUAAGAUUGGUUAAUCAGAUCCUUUAUUGUUCUUAA